GUGGGGAAUUUUGGACAAUGGGGGAAACCCUGAUCCAGCCAUCCCGCGUGUGCGAUGAAGGCCUUCGGGUUGUAAAGCACUUUUGGCAGGAAAGAAACGUCGUGGGUUAAUACCCCGCGAAACUGACGGUACCUGCAGAAUAAGCACCGGCUAACUACGUGCCAGCAGCCGCGGUAAUACGUAGGGUGCAAGCGUUAAUCGGAAUUACUGGGCGUAAAGCGUGCGCAGGCGGUUCGGAAAGAAAGAUGUGAAAUCCCAGAGCUUAACUUUGGAACUGCAUUUUUAACUACCGGGCUAGAGUGUGUCAGAGGGAGGUGGAAUUCCGCGUGUAGCAGUGAAAUGCGUAGAUAUGCGGAGGAACACCGAUGGCGAAGGCAGCCUCCUGGGAUAACACUGACGCUCAUGCACGAAAGCGUGGGGAGCAAACAGGAUUAGAAACCCGAGUAGUCC
Molecule: ribosomal RNA, 450 nt
Filed under: uncultured bacterium
Lineage: Bacteria
Description: bacterial SSU rRNA
Rfam family: Bacterial small subunit ribosomal RNA
Source: RNAcentral